AUUUCCGUAGGUGAACCUGCGGAAGGAUCAUUAGUGAAUAUAGGAUGUCCAACUUAACUUGGAGUCCGAACUCUCACUUUCUAACCCUGUGCAUUUGUUUGGGAUAGUAGCCUCUCGGGGUGAACUCCUAUUCACUUAUAAACACAAAGUCUAUGAAUGUAUUUAAUUUAUAACAAAAUAAAACUUUCAACAACGGAUCUCUUGGCUCUCGCAUCGAUGAAGAACGCAGCGAAAUGCGAUAAGUAAUGUGAAUUGCAGAAUUCAGUGAAUCAUCGAAUCUUUGAACGCACCUUGCGCUCCAUGGUAUUCCGUGGAGCAUGCCUGUUUGAGUGUCAUGAAUACUUCAACCCUCCUCUUUUCUAGUGAAAGAGAAGGUGCUUGGUUUCUGAGCGUUUUGCUGGCCUCACGGUCGAGCUCGCUCGUAAUGCAUUAGCAUCCGCAAUCGAACUUCGGAUUGACUUGGCGUAAUAGACUAUUCGCUGAGGAAUUCUAAUCUUCGGAUUAGAGCCGGGUUAGGUUAAAGGAAGCUUCUAAUCCUAAUGUCUAUAUUUUAAGAUUAGAUCUCAAAUCAGGUAGGACUACCCGCUGAACUUAAGCAUAUCAAUAAGCGGAGGAAAU
RNAcentral lists this ribosomal RNA (618 nucleotides) under Rhodotorula sphaerocarpa. Its description in RNAcentral is "eukaryotic LSU rRNA". The stretch from base 182 to 335 matches the Rfam family "5.8S ribosomal RNA". Lineage: Eukaryota; Fungi; Basidiomycota; Microbotryomycetes; Sporidiobolales; Sporidiobolaceae. The record is from RNAcentral.